Molecule: non-coding RNA, 357 nt
Organism: Pelobates cultripes (western spadefoot toad)
Lineage: Eukaryota; Metazoa; Chordata; Amphibia; Anura; Pelobatidae
Source: the annotation of a GenBank genome assembly
CUCCCCAUGUGCAUCAAUGAGGCUUGGGUUCCCAUGACCCUGACAUCAUUUGUUGUCCUUCCUUGCACCGGUUUCAGUAGGCACUAACCACUGCAUACCGUGAACAUCCCAGAUGACUUCCCAUUUUGGUGAUGCUCUGACUCAGUCAUGAACUCAUCACUAUUUGGGCCUUGUCAAAGUCACUCAGAUCAUUUUGUUUGCUAAUUUUUCCUGCUUCCAACACACUUCACCUGUUAGUGGUUUUAAUGUUGUGGCUGAUAAGUGUAGAUUUAUGAAUUUGACGGUUUGAGUCACUUGAUGAGAAUCACCUAAUAUAACUCUACGAUGACACAGGAGAUACACAGUGGAGUUCCUUUG